GAAUCCCGUCUUUGAUACGGACUACCGAGGCUUUGUGAUGUGCUCUCAAAGAGUCGAGUUGUUUGGGAAUGCAGCUCUAAAUGGGUGGUAAAUUCCAUCUAAAGCUAAAUAUUGGCGAGAGACCGAUAGCGAACAAGUACCGUGAGGGAAAGAUGAAAAGAACUUUGGAAAGAGAGCUAAACAGUACGUGAAAUUGCUGAAAGGGAAACGCUUAAAGUCAGUCGCGUUGGCUGGAAAUCAGCCCUUGCUUUUGCUUGGUGUAUUUUCUGGUCGACGGGUCAGCAUCAAUUUCGACCAUUGGAUAAAGUCAUUGGGAAUGUGGCAUCUUUUGGAUGUGUUAUAGCCCAUUGUUGUAUACGGUGGUUGGGAUUGAGGAACUCAGCAUGCCCGCGAGGGCCAGGUUUCGACCAUGUUUCAUGCUUAGGAUGCUGGCAUAAUGGCUUUAAUCGACCCGUCUUGAAACACGGACCAAGGAGUCUAACAUGCCUGCGAGUGUUUGGGUGGAAAACCCAUGCGCGCAAUGAAAGUGAAAGUUGAGAUCCCUGUUAGAGGGGAGCAUUGACGCCCGGACCAGAGCUUUUGUGACGGAUCCGCGGUAGAGCAUGUAUGUUGGGACCCGAAAGAUGGUGAACUAUGCCUGAAUAGGGUGAAGCCAGAGGAAACUCUGGUGGAGGCUCGUAGCGAUUCUGACGUGCAAAUCGAUCGUCAAAUUUGGGUAUAGGGGCGAAAGACUAAUCGAACCAUCUAGUAGCUGGUUCCUGCC
Molecule: ribosomal RNA, 763 nt
Filed under: uncultured Inocybe
Lineage: Eukaryota; Fungi; Basidiomycota; Agaricomycetes; Agaricales; Cortinariaceae
Description: partial 28S ribosomal RNA
Rfam family: Eukaryotic large subunit ribosomal RNA
Source: RNAcentral